Molecule: ribosomal RNA, 328 nt
Filed under: uncultured eukaryote
Lineage: Eukaryota
Description: partial 18S ribosomal RNA
Rfam family: Eukaryotic small subunit ribosomal RNA
Source: RNAcentral
CCCUUAGAUGUCCUGGGCCGCACGCGCGCUACACUGAUGCAUGCAACGAGUUUAUAACCUUGGCCUGAAAGGUCUGGGUAAUCUUUUGAACGUGCAUCGUGAUAGGGAUAGAUUAUUGCAAUUGUUAAUCUUGAACGAGGAAUUCCUAGUAAACGCGAGUCAUCAGCUCGCAUUGAUUACGUCCCUGCCCUUUGUACACACCGCCCGUCGCACCUACCGAUUGAAUGGUUCGGUGAAGAUCUCGGACUUCGAUAUUUAUUCUUUAUUGAGUUUAUAUUGUGGGAAGUUAUCUAAACCUCAUCGUUUAGAGGAAGGUGAAGUCGUAACA